RNAcentral lists this ribosomal RNA (1965 nucleotides) under freshwater bacterium LH6-2. RNAcentral's name for it is "bacterial LSU rRNA". It matches the Rfam family "Bacterial large subunit ribosomal RNA", at positions 1 to 1990 of the family's 2925-position model. The record is from RNAcentral.
AGAAGUAGAGAAGGGCGCAUGGGGGAUGCCUAGGCUCUCGGAGGCGAGGAAGGACGUGGUAAGCUGCGAAAAGCCGUGGGGACCCGCAAACAGGGGCUGAUCCACGGGUGUCCGAAUGGGGCAACCCGGCACGCUGAAGGCGUGCCACCCCGCAAGGGGGGCAAACCCGGGGAACUGAAACAUCUAAGUACCCGGAGGAAGAGAAAACAACAGUGAUUGCGCAAGUAGUGGCGAGCGAACGCGCAAGAGCCCAAACCCUGCAAGUCAAGGCUUGCGGGGGGUAAUAGGGCCGCAUAAUCGAAACCAAAGCAGACCUGAACCGCGUGGGAAAGCGGGCCAGAGAGGGUGAGAGCCCCGUAAGGGAAAGCAGAGGGGAGAGGCGGUACCCUGAGUAGGGCGGGGUCGGAGACGCCCCGUUUGAAUUUGCCGGCACCAUCCGGUAAGGCUAAACACUCCCGAGAGACCGAUAGUGGACCAGUACCGUGAGGGAAAGGUGAAAAGCACCGUGAACAACGGGGUGAAAGGAGAACCUGAAACCAUGCGCCUACAAGCGGUCAGAGCCCCGAGGUGGGGUGAUGGCGUGCCUUUUGCAUAAUGAGCCUACGAGUUGCCGUCACUGGCGAGGUUAACCCCGUUGACGGGGGGAGCCGGAGCGAAAGCGAGUCUGAACAGGGCGCACAGUCAGUGGGGGCAGACGCGAAACUUUGUGAUCUACCCUUGGCCAGGGUGAAGCCCCGUUAACACGGGGUGGAGGCCCGAACCAGUAAGCGUUGAAAAGCUUUUGGAUGAGCUGAGGGUAGGGGUGAAAGGCUAAUCAAACUGAGAAAUAGCUCGUACUCCCCGAAAUGUCUUUAGGGACAGUGUGGGGGUUGAGUUUGGCGGAGGUAGAGCUACCGAUAGGACUAGGGGGAGUCACAUCCUACCAAAUCCUGACGAACUCCGAAUGCCGCCAAACAUACCCUGCAAUGAGGGCGCGGGUGCUAAGGUCCGCGUCCGAGAGGGAAAGAACCCAGACCCACGGCUAAGGCCCCAAAAUCCAUGUUAAGUUGAACUAAGGAGGUCCAGCUGCAGCGACAGCCAGGAGGUUAGCUUGGAAGCAGCUAUCCCUUUAAAGAGUGCGUAACAGCUCACUGGUCGAGCGGCAGGGCAUCGAUAAUGAUCGGGCAUAAAACAUGGUGCCGAAGCUUGGGAUUGCAGCAAUGCAGUGGUAGGGGAGCAUUCCAACAGCGGAGAAGUUCCGGGGCAACCCGGGGUGGAGCGGUUGGAAAAGCAAAUGUAGGCAUAAGUAACGACAAGGCGGGUGAGAACCCCGCCCACCGAUAGACCAAGGUUUCCGCGGCAAUGUCAGUCAUCCGCGGGUCAGUCGGGUCCUAAGGGGAGGCCGAAGGGCGCACCCGAUGGCAAACCGGUUAACAUUCCGGUACCAGCGCAGCGGGCGAUGGGGUGAAGGAGGAGUGAAAGUCCCACGGGCUGACGGAACAGCCCGUUUAAGGGGGUAGGUAUACGAUCUGCAGGCAAGACCGCGGAUCGUGCCGAAUCCCGAAAGUACCAGGAGGCCCCGGCCGAAUGGAGCGGACGGUAACAGGCUCCCGAGAAAACCCCCUAAGCUCAACCGCUGCGGUGCCCGUACCGCAAACCGACACAGGUGGUCAAGGAGAGGAUCCUGAGGUGCUCGAGUGAAUCAUGGCCAAGGAACUCGGCAAAUUAACCCUGUAACUUCGGGAAAAGGGGUGCCCCGAGCAAUCGGGGCCGCAGAGAAAUGGCCCAGGCGACUGUUUAACAAAAACACAUGGCUUUGCGAAAUCGCAAGAUGAAGUAUAAGGCCUGACACCUGCCCGGUGCUGGAAGGUCAAGGGGGGGCGUCAGCCGCAAGGCGAAGCGCUGAACCGAAGCCCCAGUAAACGGCGGCCGUAACUAUAACGGUCCUAAGGUAGCGAAAUUCCUUGUCGGGUAAGUUCCGACCUG